UCUCUUCUACCCGAUCCCCCCCCCUCCCCCCCAAAGCAGAGAGACCCCAGCAGCAGCAGCAGCUGAUGAUGAAGAGAGAGGCAGUGGCAGAGGGGGGGCACCUUUUAUUUCUAUUUUUAAAGGGACAGGACACUAAUUUUACCCCACUUCAACCUUGAAUUGAGGGGGGGUGGGGGGAAGGCGGCUGAGUUCCUUCCCCCACCCUCCAGCCCUGAGACCUGAGAGGGGGAUUGAGCCAGAGAGAGAAGGAGAAGGAGUUUCUUCUUCUUCGAAAACCCCCAUCUACGACUCCUACCCCUUCACCCCUCCAGUAGCCUCCCUCCCGAGCCCCCUCCACCCUCCUCUUUGGCCGCGAGAGAGGAGAGAAAGAGACCAAAAGCCUCUUAGCAACACAGACCCUGCUCUGCUGCUGUUGCUGCUGCUGCUGCUGCUGCUACUGCUGCUGCUUGGCCCUGGCUGGAGACAUCUCACUACACCCAGGAGCAGCCACUUCCCCAGCUCUCCUCCUCCGCCGCCGCCUCCUCCUCCUCCUCCACUCCCCCCUUUAUUACCCUUUGUGUCAUCCUCCACAGCUCCCGGGAAGGCACUCAAAAGUGGGGGGCAGGAAAGACAAUUAUCAACUUUCCAGUUUUCUAUGGAUAUGAAGAUUUACUGCUAGUCAUCAGUGGGACCCAAUGAAGUCAGCCAGAAAACCUAUAUCCAACCUAUGUACCUUUGCAAACUUGUCUGGAUUUUGAAUCAUACUCAUUUUCUCAAUCUUGAGUUCUCAAUUCACAGUGGUUUUUCAAGGACCUUAUUUUUGAGAUGUUUAUUGAGAAUAUCAGUUUCUGCAUGUGGGCAGUAGAUAUUGAAGGUUAUAUGGUUUACAGAAAGCAUCUUUAAAAGAUAAACACUCAAGGACCAAGGAAAUAAAACACCAGAAGCCCAGAGCACAGAAUAUUUUCCUUCACCAAUUCAUAGAAUCGUGAUACUUCUCUAAUUCCAUCAAAUACAAAGGAAUGACCACCUUGGCAGAUGGCCACAGAGGAUGUCAACAGUUUUUUGGAGGCAAGCAAUAAAAUAUUGAUGCUUUGAGUUUUCUAUUAUUAACUUCUGAAAAGGAAGUAAAGCAUUAUAAAAUCCUAUUGUGGGUCCUCGUGUUUUGCCAUUCUUGCAUGAAACACAUGAAAUAUCCAAAAGU
Molecule: long non-coding RNA, 1180 nt
Organism: Myotis brandtii (Brandt's bat)
Lineage: Eukaryota; Metazoa; Chordata; Mammalia; Chiroptera; Vespertilionidae
Exons: 6
Source: RefSeq, a predicted model, not a curated record